This is a long non-coding RNA of Prionailurus viverrinus (fishing cat), 598 nucleotides long. RefSeq lists it as uncharacterized. Lineage: Eukaryota; Metazoa; Chordata; Mammalia; Carnivora; Felidae. The transcript is spliced from 3 exons. The record is from RefSeq and is a predicted model, not a curated record.
UGUUCCCUCCCCCACAGCUCACAUUCUGGCUACCAACCUUCAUCUUCUCUCCCCCACCCCCCUUUCCCUUUCUAAUGUGGAUGAUGCUAUCUCCCCUCAUUUGAUAAUGUUAACUCUAGAAUUCUUAGUCCAUUCACGCAGUUGUGGGAAAACUGUCAUCCCACAUCAGCUUACCAAGUGUAUUCGUUUCCUAGGCUGCCAUAGCAAAUAACCACAAAUUCAAUGGCUUAAAACAAGAAUGAUUCCCUCACAGUUUGGGAGCUCAGAAGUCUGAAAUCCAGGUGUUGGCAGAGCCCUGUUCCCUCCAAAGGCUCUGGGGGACAGUGCACUGCAUGGCUCUUUGCAUCUUCUGGUGGCUCUGAGAAUUCCUUAGCUGAAGGCCACUUCAAUCUCUGUCUCCACGUUCCUGGUUCACAGUUCCUUGGAAUUUCCUGAGUGAUAAGAGCACUGGGAGCAUCUUUUGUCAUCAUAUUUGGUCUCUUGGCCUCAGUUCCUGAAAUUGCUUCAGAGCCGUAGAGGUAACAUACCAGCAUCGAGUACUUCCUGCGAGCCAGGCUCUCUGUAAAUAUUUUAGACGUGGAGUCUUGCUUAAUCUCAG